RNAcentral lists this ribosomal RNA (440 nucleotides) under uncultured bacterium. RNAcentral describes it as "partial 16S ribosomal RNA". It matches the Rfam family "Bacterial small subunit ribosomal RNA", at positions 338 to 795 of the family's 1533-position model. The record is from RNAcentral.
CCUACGGGUGGCAGCAGUGGGGGAUAUUGCACAAUGGGGGAAACCCUGAUGCAGCGACGCCGCGUGUGGGAAGACGGUCCUCUGGAUUGUAAACCACUGUCCCCAGGGACGAAGAUGCCGGUACCUGGGGAGGAAGCUCCGGCUAACUACGUGCCAGCAGCCGCGGUAAUACGUAGGGAGCGAGCGUUGUCCGGAAUUACUGGGUGAAAAGGGAGCGUAGGCGGGACUGAAAGUUGGGUGUCAAAUCUACCGGCUCAACCGGUAGCCGCACUCAAAACUGCAGUUCUUGAGUGUAGUAGAGGCAGGCGGAAUUCCUGGUGUAGCGGUGAAAUGCGUAGAUAUUAGGAGGAACACCAGUGGCGAAGGCGGCCUGCUGGGCUUUUACUGACGCUGAGGCUCGAAAGUGUGGGGAGCAAACAGGAUUAGAUACCCGAGUAGUC